GUCUGCAGCCACACCACCCUGAGCACCGUGGAUCUUGUCUGAGCUCUGAAGCAGGGCAGGGUGAGCUAGUCAGUACCUGUUUUGCUGCUAUGCCCCUAAACUCAAGCUCCAGAAC
This 115-nucleotide ribosomal RNA is filed under the name Microtus ochrogaster (prairie vole). The record is from RNAcentral. Lineage: Eukaryota; Metazoa; Chordata; Mammalia; Rodentia; Cricetidae.